GAUGAACGCUGGCGGCGUGCCUAAUACAUGCAAGUCGAGCGGACGGACGAGAAGCUUGCUUCUCUUAUAUUAGCGGCGGACGGAGUAGUAAAACGUGGAUAACCUCCCUAUUAGACUGGGAUAACCUCGGGAAACCGGAGCUAAUACCGCAGCAUAUUUUGAACCACAUGGUUCAACAGUGAGAGACAGUCUUGCUGUCACUUAUAGAUGGAUCUGCACUGCCUUAGAUAGUUGGUAAGGUAAGGGCUUACGAAGGCAACGAGGCAUAGCCGACCUGAGGGGGUGGUCGGCCACACUGGAACUGAGAGACGGUGCCGACUCCUACGGGAGGCAGCAGUAGGGAAUCUUACGCAAUGGGCGAAAGCCUGACAGAGCAACGUCGCGGGAGUGAUGAUGGUCUGCGGAUCGUAAAAGUCUGUUAUUAGGGAAGAACAUAUGUGUAAGUAACUGUGCACAUCUUGACGGUACCUAAUCAGAAAGCCACGGCUAACUACGUG
Molecule: ribosomal RNA, 497 nt
Filed under: uncultured bacterium
Lineage: Bacteria
Description: partial 16S ribosomal RNA
Rfam family: Bacterial small subunit ribosomal RNA
Source: RNAcentral